GAUGAACGCUGGCGGCGUGCUUAACACAUGCAAGUCGAACGGAAAGGCUCCUGCUUGCAGGGGUACUCGAGUGGCGAACGGGUGAGUAACACGUGGGUGAUCUGCCCUGCACUUCGGGAUAAGCCUGGGAAACUGGGUCUAAUACCGGAUAGGACCACAUUUUGGAUGGUGUGGUGGAAAGGUUUUCGGUGUGGGAUGAGCUCGCGGCCUAUCAGCUUGUUGGUGGGGUAAUGGCCUACCAAGGCGUCGACGGGUAGCCGGCCUGAGAGGGUGUACGGCCACAUUGGGACUGAGAUACGGCCCAGACUCCUACGGGAGGCAGCAGUGGGGAAUAUUGCACAAUGGGCGCAAGCCUGAUGCAGCGACGCCGCGUGGGGGAUGACGGCCUUCGGGUUGUAAACUCCUUUCGCUAGGGACGAAGCGCAAGUGACGGUACCUGGAGAAGAAGCACCGGCUAACUACGUG
RNAcentral lists this ribosomal RNA (465 nucleotides) under uncultured bacterium. Its description in RNAcentral is "partial 16S ribosomal RNA". It matches the Rfam family "Bacterial small subunit ribosomal RNA", at positions 28 to 507 of the family's 1533-position model. The record is from RNAcentral.